ACUGUCUAUACAUAAACUGUAUCUAUAGUUUAGGGUUUAUGUCUACACAAGACUGUAUCUAUAGCUCAGGGUUUAUGUCUAUACAGGAACUGUCUAUACAUAAACUGUAUCUAUAGUUUCGGGUUUAUGUCUACACAGGAGCUGUAUCUAUAGCUCAGGGUUUAUGUCUAUACAGGAACUGUCUAUACAUAAACUGUAUCUAUAGUUUAGGGUUUAUGUCUAUACAGGAACUGUAUCUAUAGCUCAGGGUUCAUGUCUAUACGGAAACUUUAUUAAUUGUUCAUUUCUAAUCAUGAACGUUAUAGUAAGGGUUCAUGUCUAUACGGGAACUUUAUCAAUUGUUCAUUUCUAAUCAUGAACGUUAUAGUUCAGGGUUAAUGUCAUUUAUCAAUACAGAAAAUGUAUAAGAUUUAUGUUUAAACUUGAACUUUGUAGUUCAAAGUUUAUGGCAACUCAGAAACUUACGCUCACGCUUUAUGAACAGGCUUCUGCAAGUAUUCACCUUGACUGAGUAACUGACCAUUUACUGGAUGGAUAUGUCUGAGGAGAACACCGCCAGCUCUGUCAGAGAUCUUCGUCUUGUUCUUCUAAUCAUCUCAACCUGUUGUAUCCUUCUCUCUGUUAUCCUUAUUUUAACCCUCACAGGUUGGGUUCUGCUCUCUAGGUUCUCCAGGCUCUCUGGAUUCUCCGGGUCCUUACCCCCCUCUUCAACGAAGAACCCUGAAGCAUCAAAGAGUAAAAGUGUAACUUUUUCUAACAUCACAAGGAAUACUAAUUUGUCCGAAAAAGUAUAAAAAUUAAAGAGCUAAAGAAAGCCACCAGAGAUAUUUCAGUGUUGACAACCAAUCGUCUACUAAAACUAGUGAUUGAACCACGGUUCGUUUAAUUGAAAACUUUUUAAAAACUUCCGUUAUUUCAAAACUAUAUUCUGUUAAAGUUUGCAUUUAUCAAACUUUGCAAUAAUAUUUAUCCUCAGAGAAAAUAGAAUGGAAAACGAACUAUAAAAAACGAUUGUUUUGAAACAAUCGUUUUUGGUUCGUUUCUUGCAUAUCAUACCUAUAAGGAUCAAAAUUUGGCAAAGUGCAAAGAAAGAAAAUGUUGAGAAUUGAACAAUUUUUUAUUGAAUAGAAUCUUGCCCACAAAAGUUAAUUUUC
Long non-coding RNA from Eurytemora carolleeae, 1154 nucleotides. RefSeq lists it as uncharacterized. NCBI's taxonomy places the organism in Eukaryota, Metazoa, Arthropoda, Copepoda, Calanoida, Temoridae. The record is from RefSeq and is a predicted model, not a curated record. The transcript is spliced from 3 exons.